UCAAGGAGAUGAUGAAUUUGACGAUGAUGAUGAUGAGGACGACGAUGAUGAGGAUGAAGAUGAGGAAGAGGAUGACGAUGAGGAGGAAGAGGAUGACGAUGAGGAUGAAGACGAUGAAGAGGAAGAAGAAACUAAGAGCCAGAAGAAGGUACACUUGUAGAAAUUUUCGGCUUCUUCAACCUUUUACUCUUUACAGUUAAAAUGGGCAGAUGCUAAUAUCUUU
This 223-nucleotide long non-coding RNA is filed under the name Aquilegia coerulea. RNAcentral describes it as "long non-coding RNA (ACOE_LNC000006)". The record is from RNAcentral. Lineage: Eukaryota; Viridiplantae; Streptophyta; Magnoliopsida; Ranunculales; Ranunculaceae.